UUUGGGGAUAGAGGUGCAAAUAACAUCAGUACACAAUCGGAGGAAAAUGGGUUCCUGUGAACAUUGUGGAAAGGGGAAUUUGCCGAAGCUUUAAGAAGCUCAUAUAUCUUAAGGCUGGGUCUGUAUUGAAUAAAUACAGGACUGUCAUAUAGGUGACUAUAUGGAGGGCUAUCGUAAAG
RNAcentral lists this non-coding RNA (179 nucleotides) under Virgibacillus sp. SK37. Its description in RNAcentral is "Lysine riboswitch aptamer". It matches the Rfam family "Lysine riboswitch aptamer". Rfam says of the family: Riboswitches are metabolite binding domains within certain messenger RNAs that serve as precision sensors for their corresponding targets. Allosteric rearrangement of mRNA structure is mediated by ligand binding, and this results in modulation of gene expression. This family includes riboswitches that sense lysine in a number of genes involved in lysine metabolism, including lysC. The record is from Rfam by way of RNAcentral. RNAcentral also lists the same sequence under 1 other name. Lineage: Bacteria; Bacillati; Bacillota; Bacilli; Caryophanales; Bacillaceae.